This 152-nucleotide ribosomal RNA is filed under the name Colletotrichum higginsianum. RNAcentral describes it as "5.8S ribosomal RNA". The stretch from base 23 to 152 matches the Rfam family "5.8S ribosomal RNA", at positions 25 to 154 of the family's 154-position model. Rfam says of the family: 5.8S ribosomal RNA (5.8S rRNA) is a component of the large subunit of the eukaryotic ribosome. It is transcribed by RNA polymerase I as part of the 45S precursor that also contains 18S and 28S rRNA. Functionally, it is thought that 5.8S rRNA may be involved in ribosome translocation. The record is from RNAcentral. Lineage: Eukaryota; Fungi; Ascomycota; Sordariomycetes; Glomerellales; Glomerellaceae.
ACCUCAGCGUGAGUGAGCAUUUCUCUCUUGUCGAUGAAGAACGCAGCGAAAUGCGAUAAGUAAUGUGAAUUGCAGAAUUCAGUGAAUCAUCGAAUCUUUGAACGCACAUUGCGCCCGCCAGCAUUCUGGCGGGCAUGCCUGUUCGAGCGUCA